CAGCCGCCACGGUAAUACGUAGGGUGCGAGCGUUAAUCGGAAUUACUGGGCGUAAAGCGUGCGCAGGCGGUUCGUUAAGACAGAUGUGAAAUCCCCGGGCUUAACCUGGGAACUGCAUUUGUGACUGGCGAGCUAGAGUAUGGCAGAGGGGGGUAGAAUUCCACGUGUAGCAGUGAAAUGCGUAGAGAUGUGGAGGAAUACCGAUGGCGAAGGCAGCCCCCUGGGCCAAUACUGACGCUCAUGCACGAAAGCGUGGGGAGCAAACAGGAUUAGAUACCCCAGUAGUCCCUGUCUCUUAUAC
RNAcentral lists this ribosomal RNA (301 nucleotides) under uncultured bacterium. RNAcentral describes it as "partial 16S ribosomal RNA". It matches the Rfam family "Bacterial small subunit ribosomal RNA", at positions 509 to 807 of the family's 1533-position model. The record is from RNAcentral.